Triticum dicoccoides is the source of this 2779-nucleotide long non-coding RNA. RefSeq lists it as uncharacterized. The record is from RefSeq and is a predicted model, not a curated record. NCBI's taxonomy places the organism in Eukaryota, Viridiplantae, Streptophyta, Magnoliopsida, Poales, Poaceae. The transcript is spliced from 9 exons.
UUCCGGCGAGGCGACCGGAGCGCCGUGUUCCUGUACCUAGCCUCCAUCCGCGGAGCCUCGGAGGACCCGCAUUGCCACGGCAUUUGGCAAGCGGGCUGGGCGCUUGGUACGCCGCCGCCAGAAAGGUCUGAUCUUGGAGCUGGGUCUUCACCGACAGAGGAGCAUGCUCUCGGAGCACCGCCGCCAGAAAGAAUUCCAUGUGAUUCGAGGAAGUCAGCUCGCGGGGGGCCGGUGGAGGUUGAAGGCUCCACAGGGGUUUCUUGUGAUUCGAGGAACUCAGCGCAUGCAGCGCCGCUGGACUUUGACGGCUCCACGGGAUGGUAUGAUGAUGAGGAUGAGUUAAUCAAGUUGGCCGAAUAUGCCCACUGGCAAGCGAAAUCGAGCAGUCUUUGCGUGUCCCAUGUGAGCAGGGACGAAGCUAGAAAAAGUGGGCACUGGUGUUAACCGCUUCCGAGGCUAAGCCGCUAGCAGAAAUUAUAGUGGUGCAACAACAUAGAUAAUGGCCGAGAGUAAUAUAAAAAGCAACAAUAUGCAGGUGAUAUUAUUAUUACAUCUAAAAAAAUCAUACCGAGUAGCGAGUAUUGGCUGAGCAAAGUCAUAAAAUAACACUUCUUUACAUAUUUCGGAAAUAAUAGGCAAAAGGAUGACUUUGAAACGUUUCAUUUGUAACUUUCUGUAAAGGAUGAACAAAAGAACAUAUUAUAUUCACAACAAUAGUAAGAAAGAAAUAGUGCAAAAAAUAGGUAUCGUUAAGGAAAAAAUAAAAUGAUACGAGACUCACAUUUCAUAACUUCCCUUCUCGAUCUUUCAUCUUCUUAAAUAGAUCAAUCACAUUGUCAUUCGUUAUUGUAGAAAAUAUGUCUUUCUCCACAUAGCAAAUCAAGUGCUGGUCUAACUGGCCUUGAAGGCCCUGCCACAUUACUAUCUAGCGCUGGUCGUUUCCCUUUCAACAAAAAUUUAUCCAUAUCUUCCUGGUCCUGGGCAAAUCAAAGAAAAUAAACUAAAAAAAUUACUUAGCCAAUAGCCAUCAUGAAAUCAAUGCACCUGUAGAAUCGUAGUCUGUAGACAGUCUAGAGAUCGAGAGGCGAGAGAGAAGGUGCAAAUUACCUGGGAUUGGAAGAGCCAACACUUGCAAAUUAAAGAUUAUGCACUGGCGGACGGUCAGCCGAUGUCAACAUUCACCCGAUGAAACGGUGUCGAGUUCGCCGUCGUUCGUCGCCGAUUCGCUGCGGCGGCUGCGGAAUUAGGGUUCGAGAUGAGGAGGCGAAGAGACGAGGGCGUCUGUCUGUUCGCGUACACGUACAGCAGCCGGGUAGCGUACAUCGAUUAUUAUUUUUUUGAGACAAUGCGUACAUCGAUUAAUUGAUACAUAGUGCGUACGCAUUGGGCCUGGCCUUGUAUCGUUGUUUGCUGCCGCAGGCUGUUGAUUUCUUUUAGAACUUAAUGGAUUUUAUGGGCUAAGGCUUUAGGGAUUAGCUGGUCUGCUGCUGGGCUGGGGUCAAUGGAAUUUUUGGGCUGGGGUCAUACGCAGUUUUUGUUAAUACUAUUAGCUGAAAAGCCAGAAGGCACUGAUGUCAAUUGACACCAGUGAAUACAUGGGAGCUCCGUCCCUGCAUGUGAGUGGAAAUGCGUACUCAGUUCCUCAGAAGGAAAAACCAGAAUUAGGAGGUAACAAGCUACCUGCAAAAGAGGAUAGGCAAACUCCAGAAAAUGUAUCUGCAAAAGGAUUCUUGUGCCGGAGAACAAGGGUUCAGAAAAGGUCUUAAUCAAUUCUUGUGAGGAGAAAGGACAGUCCCUCACAGAGCAUCCUAAUGUCUCUGUUGAGGUGGCAGAGGCAGAGCUUCUUUGCACAAUAGGCCGGAGAGAUAGCAGGAGAAAGAAGAUCACCAAUCAUCGCGCUGAAUUGCAAUUGUUGCGGCUGAAUAUGCAACAUCUUGAUGCUCUGAGCAAGGAAGAGAAAACCAGUAACAUUAAGAAGAUGAGGUCCCUUUCAGAGAAGAUAAAGGGAGAAGAAAAGAUAUGUGUACUGGAUGAUGACGAUGUGCAUAUGAAGCAAGAUACACUAGAUAGGGCACGUCUAUGUAGUUCUGGAGCAUGAGCCCAAGAGAUCUUGGUAGUGCUAGUGAAUGUCGGUCUGAUACAGAUGUUGGAAUGCUGUAGAACGUUUGUAAACAAGUUCGGGAUGGUGCUUUUAAUCUUGGUUGAUAUCAGGGCCUGAAAGUUGGACAUACUAUUGAAAUACAGGGGCAGCUAUUAUUUUUCUCAAGAGAUGGUUAAAGGAAGGAUCAUCAAAGAAAUAAUGGUUAAAGGAAGCGAAGAUUGAUUUUGAUGAUCUGCAUCCCAUUUGACUUGUGGUGUAAUUUUUUUCUUCUGAAAAGUACAUUUCAGGAUGUUGGAAAAAUAUGUCCGAGAUUAGCUUAGGGUGAUUCAGUGCAUUACUUGGGUAAGGCAGUAGGUUAGGGUAAUGCAGUAUGUAUAUAACCUUAUAAUGAAGAACCAGGAACUGGGAAGUCAAGAAAGAUAUUAUGGGACUCCCUUGAAGCAGGGGAGAAGUCACUGGAAGUGUUUGAAGUGAGAAAGACGUGCGCUCAAUCGGCAAAAGAUGCCAAUAAAAGGGACUAAAAAGAAUUGAGAUUGUCUAAAGGUCCAAGCUCAUAUGUGAGGAUUCACACAUGCUUGAAGGGAAAAUUUUGACUUUGUGGUCUGUUCCUCGGAGUACCUGCAAAUUUGAAUACAGUAUCGCUUAUUUCUAAGCUGUGCAGCACAGACAAUGGGUUCA